RNAcentral lists this ribosomal RNA (263 nucleotides) under uncultured bacterium. Its description in RNAcentral is "partial 16S ribosomal RNA". It matches the Rfam family "Bacterial small subunit ribosomal RNA", at positions 793 to 1055 of the family's 1533-position model. The record is from RNAcentral.
GUCCACGCCCUAAACGAUGUCAACUGGUUGUUGGGAAUUUAUUUUCUCAGUAACGAAGCUAACGCGUGAAGUUGACCGCCUGGGGAGUACGGCCGCAAGGUUAAAACUCAAAGGAAUUGACGGGGACCCGCACAAGCGGUGGAUGAUGUGGUUUAAUUCGAUGCAACGCGAAAACCUUACCCACCUUUGACAUGUAUGGAAUCCUUUAGAGAUAGAGGAGUGCUCGAAAGAGAGCCAUAACACAGGUGCUGCAUGGCUGUCGU